RNAcentral lists this ribosomal RNA (382 nucleotides) under uncultured eukaryote. Its description in RNAcentral is "partial 18S ribosomal RNA". It matches the Rfam family "Eukaryotic small subunit ribosomal RNA", at positions 592 to 976 of the family's 1831-position model. The record is from RNAcentral.
CAAUAGCGUAUAUUGAAGUUGUUGCGGUUAAAAAGCUCGUCGUUGGAUUUCUGUUGAGGUCGAACAGUGCCGCCCUAUGGGUGCGCAACUGGCUCGGCUUCGGCAUCUUCUUGGAGAGCGCAUCUGCACUUAACUGUGUGGAUCGUACUUCAAGUCAGUUACUUUGAGGAAUUGUGAGUGUUUCAAGCAGGCUUACGCCGUUGAAUCCGUUAGCAUGGAAUAAUAGGAUAGGACCUCGGUUCUAUUUUGUUGGUUUUGAGAGCUGGGGCAGCGAUUGAUAGGGAAGGAUGGGGGCGUCCGAACUUUACUGUCAGAGGUGAAAUUCUUAGAUCGGUCAAAGGCGAACUACUGCGAACGCAUUCGCCAAGAAUGUUUUCUUUAA